RNAcentral lists this ribosomal RNA (492 nucleotides) under uncultured bacterium. RNAcentral's name for it is "partial 16S ribosomal RNA". It matches the Rfam family "Bacterial small subunit ribosomal RNA", at positions 30 to 507 of the family's 1533-position model. The record is from RNAcentral.
AUUGAACGCUGGCGGCAUGCUUUACACAUGCAAGUCGAACGGUAACAGGCCUUCGGGUGCUGACGAGUGGCGAACGGGUGAGUAAUGCAUCGGAACGUGCCCAGAGGUGGGGGAUAACGCAGCGAAAGCUGUGCUAAUACCGCAUGUGAUCUGAGGAUGAAAGCGGGGGACCAGGCAGCAAUGUUUGGCCUCGCGCCUUUGGAGCGGCCGAUGUCAGAUUAGGUAGUUGGUGGGGUAAAGGCCUACCAAGCCGACGAUCUGUAGCUGGUCUGAGAGGACGACCAGCCACACUGGGACUGAGACACGGACCAGACUCCUACGGGAGGCAGCAGUGGGGAAUUUUGGACAAUGGGCGCAAGCCUGAUCCAGCAAUGCCGCGUGCGGGAAGAAGGCCUUCGGGUUGUAAACCGCUUUUGUACGGAACGAAAAGGCUCUGGCUAAUACCUGGGGCUGAUGACGGUACCGUAAGAAUAAGCACCGGCUAACCACGUG